RNAcentral lists this ribosomal RNA (500 nucleotides) under uncultured bacterium. Its description in RNAcentral is "partial 16S ribosomal RNA". It matches the Rfam family "Bacterial small subunit ribosomal RNA", at positions 28 to 507 of the family's 1533-position model. The record is from RNAcentral.
GACGAACGCUGGCGGCGUGCUUAACACAUGCAAGUCGAACGGGUCUGCCCUGUUUUUUGCGGGGUGGGUCAGUGGCGAACGGGUGAGUAACACGUGAGUAACCUGCCCCUCACUUCUGGAUAACCGCUUGAAAGGGUGGCUAAUACGGGGUGUUCUGGCUGUGCCGCAUGGUGUGGCUGGGAAAGAUUCACUUUUGUGGUGUUUUGGUGGGGGAUGGGCCCGCGGCCUAUCAGCUUGUUGGUGGGGUGAUGGCCUGCCAAGGCUUUGACGGGUAGCCGGCCUGAGAGGGUGGGCGGUCACACUGGGACUGAGAUACGGCCCAGACUCCUGCGGGAGGCAGCAGUGGGGGGUAUUGCACAAUGGGCGGAAGCCUGAUGCAGCGACGUCGCGUGAGGGAUGGAGGCCUUCGGGUUGUGAACCUCUUUCGCCGGUGAAGAAGGUCCUGCUCUUUGUGGUGGGGUUGACGGUAGCCGGGUUAUGAAGCGCCGGCUAACUACGUG